This 497-nucleotide ribosomal RNA is filed under the name uncultured bacterium. RNAcentral describes it as "partial 16S ribosomal RNA". It matches the Rfam family "Bacterial small subunit ribosomal RNA", at positions 28 to 507 of the family's 1533-position model. The record is from RNAcentral.
GAUGAACGCUGGCGGCGUGCCUAAUACAUGCAAGUCGAGCGAACGGACGAGAAGCUUGCUUCUCUGAUGUUAGCGGCGGACGGGUGAGUAACACGUGGAUAACCUACCUAUAAGACUGGGAUAACUUCGGGAAACCGUAGCUAAUACCGGAUAAUAUUUUGAACCGCAUGGUUCAAAAGUGAAAGACGGUCUUGCUGUCACUUAUAGAUGGAUCCGCGCUGCAUUAGCUAGUUGGUAAGGUAACGGCUUACCAAGGCAACGAUGCAUAGCCGACCUGAGAGGGUGAUCGGCCACACUGGAACUGAGACACGGUCCAGACUCCUACGGGAGGCGGCAGUAGGGAAUCUUCCGCAAUGGGCGAAAGCCUGACGGAGCAACGCCUCGUGAGUGAUGAAGGUCUUCGGAUCGUAAAACUCUGUUAUUAGGGAAGAACAUAUGUGUAAGUAACUGUGCACAUCUUGACGGUACCUAAUCAGAAAGCCACGGCUAACUACGUG